CGGUAAUACGGAGGAUCCAAGCGUUAUCCGGAAUCAUUGAGUUUAGAGGACCCGUAGGCGGUCAGAUAAGUCAGUGGUGAAGACCUGCCGCUCAACGGUGGAACGGCCAUUGAUACUGUCUGACUUGGAUCAUUAGGAAGUAACUAGAACAUGUAGUGUAGCGAUGAAAUGCUUAGAGAUUACAUGGAAUACCAAUUGCGAAGGCAGGUUACUACUAGCUGAUUGACGCUGAUGGACGAGAGCGUGGGUAGCAGACAGGAUUAGAUACUCUGGUAGCCCACGCCGUAAACGAUGGAUACUAGCUGUUGGGAGCAAUCUUAGUGGCUAAGCGAAAGCGAUAAGUAUCCCACCUAGGAAGUACGUUCGCAAGAAUGAA
This 376-nucleotide ribosomal RNA is filed under the name uncultured bacterium. RNAcentral describes it as "bacterial SSU rRNA". It matches the Rfam family "Bacterial small subunit ribosomal RNA", at positions 518 to 898 of the family's 1533-position model. The record is from RNAcentral.